Sorghum bicolor (sorghum) is the source of this 424-nucleotide long non-coding RNA. RefSeq lists it as uncharacterized. NCBI's taxonomy places the organism in Eukaryota, Viridiplantae, Streptophyta, Magnoliopsida, Poales, Poaceae. The transcript has 2 exons. The record is from RefSeq and is a predicted model, not a curated record.
CGUGUUCGCCUGGCGCAAGAUGGACGGUGUGGAGGCGCGCGGAGCUGCUGGUGCCCGCCGUCGCGUCCGGAUUCAUACGGGAUAUGGACCUUCCCGUCCUCGUUGCUCUCUCUUCUCUUGCCAAGCGGCGGCAGGCCUAGAUAGCCACGGAUCCGAGUUCAGUUGGUAACGUGCAGCAUGUACACGAGCGUAUCCUUUGAGGUGGACGAAAUAGGAUACUGGCAUGUUAUCCUUUCAGGAUGUCACCAACCAUUUUGUUCCGUACCAAGGGGAAUAUGCAAGAGAGCAAAUUAGGUCCCCAAUCGAAAACAAACAAGACUUAAGCCGGGUUAUUACAUAAGAAAAGGCCCUCCUCGAUCGGUUCGAUGUCCUCCGCUGUACAAUCUUGCAAUUCAUCUCACUCAAUUCUGAAUCCAAAAUCUCA